This 422-nucleotide ribosomal RNA is filed under the name uncultured archaeon. Its description in RNAcentral is "partial 16S ribosomal RNA". It matches the Rfam family "Archaeal small subunit ribosomal RNA", at positions 323 to 746 of the family's 1478-position model. The record is from RNAcentral.
CUACGGGUGGCUCCAGGCGAGAAAACUUUGCAAUGUGCGAAAGCACGACAAGGUUAAUCCGAGUGGUUUCUGCUAAAGGAACCUUUUGACAGUCCUAGAAACACUGUUGAAUAAGGGGUGGGCAAGUUCUGGUGUCAGCCGCCGCGGUAAAACCAGCACCUCAAGUGGUCAGGAUGAUUAUUGGGCCUAAAGCAUCCGUAGCCGGCUCUGUAAGUUUUCGGUUAAAUCUGUACGCUCAACGUACAGGCUGCCGGGAAUACUGCAGAGCUAGGGAGUGGGAGAGGUAGACGGUACUCGGUAGGAAGGGGUAAAAUCCUUUGAUCUAUUGAUGACCACCUGUGGCGAAGGCGGUCUACCAGAACACGUCCGACGGUGAGGGAUGAAAGCUGGGGGAGCAAACCGGAUUAGAUACCCCAGUAGUC